UGUUAGUUUAUGAUGAAUUCAUAGUUCAGAUGAAUUUAUGAUUACACUUGAUAUUUAGUCUUUCACCCCUAACUGAUCAACUAUUG
Molecule: small nucleolar RNA, 86 nt
Organism: Zophobas morio
Lineage: Eukaryota; Metazoa; Arthropoda; Insecta; Coleoptera; Tenebrionidae
Product: small nucleolar RNA snR60/Z15/Z230/Z193/J17
Exons: 1
Source: RefSeq, a predicted model, not a curated record